RNAcentral lists this ribosomal RNA (240 nucleotides) under Vibrio sp. s10p3. RNAcentral's name for it is "partial 16S ribosomal RNA". It matches the Rfam family "Bacterial small subunit ribosomal RNA", at positions 843 to 1082 of the family's 1533-position model. The record is from RNAcentral. Lineage: Bacteria; Pseudomonadati; Pseudomonadota; Gammaproteobacteria; Vibrionales; Vibrionaceae.
CUUUCGGAGCUAACGCGUUAAGUAGACCGCCUGGGGAGUACGGUCGCAAGAUUAAAACUCAAAUGAAUUGACGGGGGCCCGCACAAGCGGUGGAGCAUGUGGUUUAAUUCGAUGCAACGCGAAGAACCUUACCUACUCUUGACAUCUACAGAAUCCUGCGGAGACGCGGGAGUGCCUUCGGGAACUGUAAGACAGGUGCUGCAUGGCUGUCGUCAGCUCGUGUCGUGAGAUGUUGGGUUA